GGGCAUUUGGCGAUAUGACACAUUUCAUCAAGUGGCUCUCGAGCGUCGCCGCCACCACUGGAUGGCACUGAAGUCCAGGCCCGUUUUCUAAUGAAACAAAUUGAUUAGCUUUAAGUGUGAGUCAGCCAUGACUUCACUUCUAGGCCCAGCUGAACCUCUUUUGCCCCCCAGCCACGAGGAAGUGAUGCAGCCGCGGGAUGACGCACGACGUCGCCCGCCAAAACGGAGACAGAUCGCGCACGAGGCACGUGGAAAUCCACCCGGCGCACGCUUCCCUUCUUGUGGUUGACUCGGAAUUCAGCAGCCCGGAGGUAUCGUCCCAACUGACAUGACGCCUUGCUGACCUACUGACAAGUGAGGCUUUGCCUAUUUUCCCAAGUACACUGCCCCAACGGCAAGUUUCUCGAAACAAGAUCAUUUCCUGAAAAACCAGUCAGCGGAAGACCAACGCCGAUGAAAACACAGAGACAGCGAUAGAACGGACCUUUGCGACCUGUCAAUCACUCGUACAGUAAUAGCCAAUCAGAUAGCCGCAUUGUCUUAACCCCCGGCUUGCACGCCCCCUCUCGCCGCAUUGUCCCACAAGCAAUGCCGGUAGUCAGUAGUGUGCGCCUGGAAAAGUUAAUGUUACGAAGAAAAUCGUCCUCAGGAACGUGCAAUUCUGACGAAAGACAUCCUGCUAGGUCACAAGCGGCCCGCUUGCCCGUUUGACUCAUUUCCCAAAGCCUAAAACGCACUGGACGAAGUGUCUAUGAUGGAUUAAGGCUCGCGGAAGAGCGCACGUACAACUAAACGUGGAUAAUAU
This is a long non-coding RNA of Syngnathoides biaculeatus (alligator pipefish), 805 nucleotides long. RefSeq lists it as uncharacterized. The transcript has 3 exons. The record is from RefSeq and is a predicted model, not a curated record. NCBI's taxonomy places the organism in Eukaryota, Metazoa, Chordata, Actinopteri, Syngnathiformes, Syngnathidae.